GCUAAGAAUAUUCCGCAAUGGACGAAAGUCUGACGGAGCGACGCCGCGUGAAUGAUGAAGGCCGAAAGGUUGUAAAAUUCUUUUGCUAGGGAAGAAUAACCAUGGGAGGGAAUGCCCAUGGGAUGACAUGAACUGGCGAAUAAGCCCCGGCUAACUACGUGCCAGCAGCCGCGGUAACACGUAGGGGGCAAGCGUUGUUCGGAAUUACUGGGCGUAAAGGGCAUGUAGGCGGCCUUAUAAGCCUGGCGUGGAAUCCCACGGCUUAACCGUGGAAUUGCGUUAGGAACUGUAGGGCUAGAAUUAUGGAGAGGGAGUUAGAAUUCCUGGUGUAGGGGUGAAAUCUGUAGAUAUCAGGAAGAAUACCAGUGGCGAAGGCGAGCUCCUGGCCAAUGAUUGACGCUGAGGUGCGAAAGUGUGGGGAUCAAACAGGAUUAGAAACCCUAGUAGUCC
This 450-nucleotide ribosomal RNA is filed under the name uncultured bacterium. RNAcentral describes it as "bacterial SSU rRNA". It matches the Rfam family "Bacterial small subunit ribosomal RNA", at positions 354 to 796 of the family's 1533-position model. The record is from RNAcentral.